AACCUUUACUGUAGCUUUGCAUUGGACUUUGAAGUCACUUGUGUAGGAUAGGUGGGAGGCUUUGAAGCAGAGACGCCAGUCUCUGUGGAGCCGUCCUUGAAAUACCACCCUAGUGUCUUUGAGGUUCUAACCUAGACCCGUCAUCCGGGUCGGGGACCGUGCAUGGUAGGCAGUUUGACUGGGGCGGUCUCCUCCCAAAGCGUAACGGAGGAGUUCGAAGGUU
This 223-nucleotide ribosomal RNA is filed under the name Neisseria meningitidis. RNAcentral describes it as "partial 23S ribosomal RNA". It matches the Rfam family "Bacterial large subunit ribosomal RNA", at positions 2097 to 2318 of the family's 2925-position model. The record is from RNAcentral. Lineage: Bacteria; Pseudomonadati; Pseudomonadota; Betaproteobacteria; Neisseriales; Neisseriaceae.